GGAUGUGAGGGCGAUCUGGCUGCGACAUCUGUCACCCCAUUGAUCGCCAGGGUUGAUUCGGCUGAUCUGGCUGGCUAGGCGGGUGUCCCCUUCCUCCCUCACCGCUCCAUGUGCGUCCCUCCCGAAGCUGCGCGCUCGGUCGAAGAGGACGACCAUCCCCGAUAGAGGAGGACCGUUCUUCGGUCAAGGGUAUACGAGUAGCUGCGCUCCCCUGCUAGAACCUCCAAACAAGCUCUCAAAUAACUAAGAUUACACUUGAGACAUCUUUUCUACAACUUUCUCCAUCUAUCUUGUGGGCAUCCUUUCCCAGAGAACCAAAACAAU
Molecule: small nuclear RNA, 324 nt
Filed under: Castor canadensis (American beaver)
Lineage: Eukaryota; Metazoa; Chordata; Mammalia; Rodentia; Castoridae
Description: 7SK RNA (ENSCCNG00000030884.1)
Rfam family: 7SK RNA
About the family: 7SK was discovered as an abundant small nuclear RNA in the mid-70s but a possible function has only recently been suggested. Two independent studies have found that 7SK RNA binds the CDK9/cyclin T complex (known as elongation factor P-TEFb).
Source: RNAcentral